CAGGCUGGCAGCUGUAGCUCUGAUUGGACCCCUGACCUGGGAACCUCCAGAUGCCGCAAGUGCGGCCCUAAAAGACAAAAAAAAAAAAAAAAAAAAAAAAAGGAUCUUUAUACAAUUGUUUUGCAACCGUAAUACACAGAGAAUUCCUACAAGUCAGCAAGAAAAAGAUGAGCAGCGCAAGGCAAGGUGAGAGCAGGGUUUCACAGGAGAGGAAGCGGGGGGUGGCUGUGGGCCGGCCAGUGCGCCCUUGGGUGCAGAGCCCCUGGAGCCGCAUCUUUAUGUUGUCGUGUUUCGUGGUCAGAACUCGAGAAAGGAACCGUCUCUUAGCAGUGGCAGUGCACCCGGUUCCUCGGCUCGUGGAAGGUUCCCUCGAGCUCCGAGCUCGCGUGCACGGCCCGGAUGCUGCGCAGGCAGCGUCUGCGGAGACUGCAGGUCGGCGCUCCGCACACACUCCUCCGGGAGCAGUUAUCCUCAGAGAAGGCCUGUGUCUCUGGUCUUACUCGUUUCCUCUCUUAGGCCAGGUCGGGUCGUCUCGGCACAGCCACUUCACAUUCGGUCUUGAGCUGUCUCUGGGUGUCGUCGUGCUUCCUGUGCGGGGGGCCGCCUCCCUCCGCAGAGCCCGUCCGGCCGGCAUGGACCGGGGCUGGCAUGGACUGGUCCCGGGCCGGGGCCUGGCCUCCUGCAGAGCAGCGGGAAGGCGAGGCUGUCCUGCACGCGCCUCUGGGCAGCAGAGGGAGGCUUCUGCUGUGCGGCCUGCUGACGCUGGGGCUCAGGAGUGUUCCCGUGCUGCCCUGUGCAUCAGCCAGGGGGCCCCGCGUUGGGCUGCCCUCUCCAGGUCAUGGAGACAAGCAGGAGAAGGGCUGGAAGAGCAGCUCGGCUGAGCGUGGGCUGGCCCGACGCAGCCGGGGCCCUUAGACAGAAAGGGAGUUGUUCCUGUUCGUGCAAUGCUGGAAGCCCGGUGUAAAUUUCAGCUAAGUUCUGUGUGCUUUUUAGAUGUUAGCACUUAAGUUCACGUCCUGGAGAGUUUUCCUUUCUUCGUAGAUGUUUUCUUUCCAUGUUUAGCAUUACUUACGAUUGACGUCUGCAUCUCUUCCUGCUGCUGCCUCUUAAGACAGCACCUCUACCUUCAUUUCAGAUGUUUUCAGUUCAGAGUUAUGCACACACACACUCAAGACACACGCAUGCGCACACACACGUGUGAAGCCCGAUGUCUUUGCAGUGAAUCCGCGUGUCUCUCUGCCUCUCAGAUAUAUGCUUGAAGGAGGUGCCGUCGAUGGCCGACAGUCUGUACAACAUCCGGCUGCUGAGAGAGUUCUCCAACGAGUACCUCAACAGGUGCUUUUAUCUCACCCUGGAAGACGUGCUCUACGCGCCCCUGGUGCUGAAGCCAAACGUCAUGGUUUUUAUCGCUGAGCUCUUCUGGUGGUUUGAGAACGUCAAACCCGACUUCGUUCAGCCCAGGGACGUGCACGAGCUGAAAGACGUCCCCGAAGGCGGCCCCCCCGGCUGCUCGCUGCACAGCACGGGGCUCCUCUCGGGGACCAAGAGCUGGCACGGCCCGGGUCCCCGGCGGCGGCCGUCCUUGUCCCACAGCGCCAGGUCCAGGGGCCGGUGGGGUCGCUGGGGAGGAGGUCCCAGGUGGCCCCGGUGCGGCUCCGUGGCAGGAGGUACUCUCCCUGAUGCCAGCCUCACCCCGUGGCUCUGAUUUUUGCCCCUGUAACAAGGAGGAACAGAGUCGGUUUUACCACAGGGUAAAAUGAGCUGCCAGCCUUGCGAAUCCGUAAACGUUAAAGGACGACACGGGAGAAGGCCAUCGUGCCUGUGGUUUCUUAGGAAGAAUAUAAAAAUUUGAGCUGCAGAGGAGAAGAGCAGUAAUUAGCACAUUAAAAUUCAGACCUUUUUUUCAUGGAAAGAUGAUGCAAAGAGUUAAAAAAAGAAAAAAACCAAGCAGCCCCCAGGGCUGGACGAUGCCGCAGAACGCCCCCGCCAGCUCGGCGGGGCCCCGAGCCCGCCAGCGCGCCCCGUCUAGGUGAGAGGAAGACGCGCCUCGUGAACGUGGGGCCAGCAAGGCAUAGAUGCUCUGGAGGAGUGAGCACGAAGGGACGCACACGCGUGCCCACCGCGUCGGCGAGGCGGACCCUCCCCCCGGGCCAGGGCUGGGCAGAGGCACAGGCCAGCUUCCUCGCCCACCCAUCAGGGCUCCAGAACCUGGGGGAGACGUGUCCUCUCCUGAGAGGCCCCUCCCGCCGUUCCCACCGUGGUGUCUGCACCUCUGUGGGCCCUGGGACCUCGCCGCUUGCCCAGGGGCCCUGGCUUCCUCCCUCCUGUUGAUUCACCCCGAUUCACCCCGAGCACCAGCUGGCACUGGGGCCCAGCCAGGAAAUGCACCCGAGCCCGGACCUGGGGCCCGGCCUCCGGGAGAUGAGCUGCUUUACUGCAGAGGCGGGGAGGGCUGCGUGGAGGCUGUUGAGUGGGACAGGGAGCGGCAGGCAGCCUCCUGCGGGCAGCCUCUCAUCUUGGGAACGAGAGUGGGACCCACCCAGGAGGCAGCGCGCCCUGGGCUGGGGCAUGUCUGGUGGGUCUCAUGGGCCCAGCCUGUACCCCCGUCGGGUGUCCCCGCCUGCCUCCUGUCCCGUGGGUCCUGUGCUGCCAGGUCACGCUCUCUGAUCUCUGGCUGGAGGCGAGCCGAGCCCUGUGGACAGGCAGAGUGUGCACCUGUCUCACCGGAGCCUGGGGCAGUGGGCCUCCCGCGAACUGGCGCCAGGCUUGGGGCUCAGCCCUGGCCCCGUGGAGCCUUGUGGGGGCGCGUCUGUGCCUGUGGCCUCCUGUCCUGUUCGGGGCCAUUCCAGCCUCUGUCACCUCCAUCACCUUGUGUGUGGCCUGUUGUGCCUGUGUGGUGGGGCUGAUGGCCUCCAGUGGCAUCUGUCCACCGUCUGAAUCCACCCGUCUGCUCACCUAGCUCAGGCCUCCCUUCUCCCAUCCGCGGUCAUCGGGGUCCCCGUGCGGCUGCAUAUGGUGCUGGGCCCUGUGCAGCCAGUCCCGAGGCGUCCCUUCAUCUCGGGAUGAAGUGCUGAGCUUGCGCCGUGACCGCGUGCGCGCCUGACGCACGGCUUGAACAUGCGGUCGCUGGGCGUCCUGUGAGCGGGGCACGCGGGCUCAGCUGUGUCCAGCACAUGCCGGGCCUCGUAUUUUGAAGGUGGUGGUUCUUCGUGGUCCUGCCCGUGCCCCUCCUGCGGGUACCUGCCUUAGGCUGUGGGGCUCUUUCCCGCCCCGAUCCCUCCACGGCCUGGGCCCUGGGAGGCGCCCUUCCUGCGUGGCAUCCACCGUCUGGGACGUGCUCAGUGCCCCUGAGAAGAGGCUUGUGGGGAGGGACUUGGGGUCCUUUGCAUGCGCUUUGGCCUUGGCCUUCGGGUCCUCGCUCCUGGGGCUCUUGCCGGACCACCGGGUCCAGGUGCAGACCUGGCUCGGCCCCUUCCUGGUUUCUUCGCUUGGGACUCGCUGGCUGCCUCUGUUCACCUGGGGAGGCCACGUUCCGUCCCUGUGUCCCUCACGCCCAGGCCCUCGGCCGCCGCUCCUGCUCCUCGGGUCCUGACUGUGGUCUCAUCCAUGUCGAUGCGGCCCUUUCGGGCCGGAGGCAGCCCGGACGCCUCCGUGUGGGUGGCCUGCCCUGGGCUCCUCGACCCUUUGGCGGAUCAGCGAUCCCAAGGUGGUGGUGGCCCCUCACGUGGUCGGGGCCGGGCUGCUUAGCCGUGUGCUGCACGGGCCGGGCCCUCCUGAGCCACGUGUCUGGGGAUCCUCCCAGGUCAGCACCCUGCCCUGAUCCAGGACUCUGGCUGUGGCUCAGCCCCACUGGUCUCGCUCUCAGGUCCAGCCCGUGCACAGAGACCUGGUGGCCGGGACGGGAGCCCGGCCAGGUCCCCUAGGCAGGGCCUGGGGCGGGGGGCCUGCUUCGGCUUCGCAGAGUUCCAGGGGGUCUGAGGCUCGAGGUUUUCAAGGCCCGUGGGUCAGGGUCCACGUGGCUGCCUCCUGGCAGCUGGCCUCCUGAUCCUUGUCCUGGGUCAGCCUUAGCUCUCCCCCCAGUGUGUGUCACUGCCCGUUGCUGUCCCUGUCAUUCUCCUGGGUCUCCUCAAGCUCCGGGGGUGCAGGGCAGCCACCCCGUCCCAAGGUGCUGGGAACCCCCUCCUUGCCCUCACCACCCAAGCUGCUGCGCUCUGCCAGGCUCCCCCAGGGGACUGCCACCCUGCCAGGGCUAUCUGGGCUCCAGCUGCCACAUUGCUGGGUCCUUGUUGCCAGCUGGAUGGAUGGUGAGGGGUCCAGCCCUUUCACCUUGGACUGCCCUGGCCCCAUCUCUCUUGGGGCAGCCUUCUGGGGGGUAGCCUCAAGAUGGGGUUGCUGUUCAGACUGGAGCUUCGGGCUCGGCCUGAUCUUCCCACCCAACUGCAUGGGCAGCCAAGUGCCCGCUGAGAUGGUCGGUCACGUGCUGGGCCCCAACGGCCGGUCCUUUCCUCAGCUGAGGGGCCCCAGUGAUGAGGCUGCUGUCGUGUCAGAGCCACGUCCUCCAGUGCAGAUUUUGUUGUUCUGGUCUCUGGUAGCUUUUGUGGUGCAACAUUUGUCGUGUUUGUAACAGAAUAAUACACGUGUUGACCUGAAACCAGGUAUCUUGGGGGAAAUUUGGUUUCAAGUAAAUUUGCAUUAUUUUUAGUGCCUAUAAAAAUGGACUUCUAAGAGUUCCUGUCGUGGCGCAGUGGUUAAUGAAUCCGACUAGGAACCAUGAGGUUGCGGGUUCAACCCCUGGCCUCGCUCAGUGGGUUAAGGAUCCGGUGCUGCCAUGAGCUGUGGUGUGGGUCUGGGACACGGCUUGGAUCCUGUGUUGCUGUGGCUGUGGCGUAGGCCAGUGGCUACAGCUCCGAUUAGAUCCCUGGCCUGGGAACCUCCAUAUGCCGCGGGUGCGGCCCUAGAAAAGGCAAAAAGAC
Molecule: long non-coding RNA, 4973 nt
Filed under: Sus scrofa (pig)
Lineage: Eukaryota; Metazoa; Chordata; Mammalia; Artiodactyla; Suidae
Description: lncRNA (ENSSSCG00055002827.1)
Source: RNAcentral